This 423-nucleotide ribosomal RNA is filed under the name uncultured bacterium. RNAcentral describes it as "bacterial SSU rRNA". It matches the Rfam family "Bacterial small subunit ribosomal RNA", at positions 207 to 622 of the family's 1533-position model. The record is from RNAcentral.
AAGACCUUGCGCUUUUGGAGCGGCCGAUGCCUGAUUAGCUUGUUGGUAAGGUAAAAGCUUACCAAGGCUUCGAUCAGUAGCUGGUCUGAGAGGACGGCCAGCCACACUGGGACUGAGACACGGCCCAGACUCCUACGGGAGGCAGCAGUGGGGAAUUUUGGAUAAUGGGGGCAACCCUGAUCCAGCCAUGCCGCGUGAGUGAAGAAGGCCUUCGGGUUGUAAAGCUCUUUCAGCCGGAACGAAACGGUUACGGUUAAUACCCGUGACUACUGACGGUACCGGAAGAAGAAGCACCGGCUAACUACGUGCCAGCAGCCGCGGUAAUACGUAGGGUGCAAGCGUUAAUCGGAAUUACUGGGCGUAAAGCGUGCGCAGGUGGUUUUGUAAGUCAGAUGUGAAAUCCCCGGGCUUAACCUGGGAACU